This 497-nucleotide ribosomal RNA is filed under the name uncultured bacterium. RNAcentral's name for it is "partial 16S ribosomal RNA". It matches the Rfam family "Bacterial small subunit ribosomal RNA", at positions 28 to 507 of the family's 1533-position model. The record is from RNAcentral.
GAUGAACGCUGGCGGCGUGCCUAAUACAUGCAAGUCGAGCGAACGGACGAGAAGCUUGCUUCUCUGAUGUUAGCGGCGGACGGGUGAGUAACACGUGGAUAACCUACCUAUAAGACUGGGAUAACUUCGGGAAACCGGAGCUACUACCGGCUAAUAUUUUGAACCGCAUGGUUCAAAAGUGAAAGACGGUCUUGCUGUCACUUAUAGAUGGAUCCGCGCUGCAUUAGCUAGUUGGUAAGGUAACGGCUUACCAAGGCAACGAUGCAUAGCCGACCUGAGAGGGUGAUCGGCCACACUGGAACUGAGACACGGUCCAGACUCCUACGGGAGGCAGCAGUAGGGAAUCUUCCGCAAUGGGCGAAAGCCUGACGGAGCAACGCCGCGUGAGUGAUGAAGGUCUUCGGAUCGUAAAACUCUGUUAUUAGGGAAGAACAUAUGUGUAAGUAACUGUGCACAUCUUGACGGUACCUAAUCAGAAAGCCACGGCUAACUACGUG